UAACAGCUCAAAUUUGAAAUCUGGCUCCUUUGGAGUCCGAGUUGUAAUUUGUAGAAGAUGCUUUGGGUUAUGGGUUCGGCCUAAGUUCCUUGGAACAGGACGUCAUAGAGGGUGAGAAUCCCGUAUGUGGCCGAGGCCCGCGCCUGUGUAAAGCUCUUUCAACGAGUCGAGUUGUUUGGGAAUGCAGCUCAAAAUGGGUGGUAAAUUUCAUCUAAAGCUAAAUAUGGGCCAGAGACCGAUAGCGCACAAGUAGAGUGAUCGAAAGAUGAAAAGCACUUUGGAAAGAGAGUUAAACAGUACGUGAAAUUGUUGAAAGGGAAGCGCUUGCACCCAGACUUGGGCGCUGCUGAUCACCUUGCGUUCUCCGCGAGUGCACUCGACAGCGCACAGGCCAGCAUCGGUUCGGGUGGCUGGAUAAAGGCCGUAGGAACGUANCUCUCUUCGGGGAGUGUUAUAGCCUACGGUGCCAUGCAGCCCAGCCGGACCGAGGACCGCGCCUUCGGGCUAGGAUGCUGGCGUAAUGGGUGUAAGCGACCCGUCUUGAAACACGGACCAAGGAGUCUAACAUCUAUGCGAGUGUUUGGGUGGGAAACCCAUACGCGGAAUGAAAGUGAACGUAGGUGAGAACCCCUUUGGGGCGCAUCAUCGACCGAUCCUGAUGUCUU
This 665-nucleotide ribosomal RNA is filed under the name Erysiphe betae. RNAcentral's name for it is "eukaryotic LSU rRNA". It matches the Rfam family "Eukaryotic large subunit ribosomal RNA", at positions 102 to 780 of the family's 3401-position model. The record is from RNAcentral. RNAcentral also lists the same sequence under 1 other name. Lineage: Eukaryota; Fungi; Ascomycota; Leotiomycetes; Helotiales; Erysiphaceae.